GGAUUGUAGGCUGCAACCCGCCUGCAUGAAGUUGGAAUUGCUAGUAAUCGCGGAUCAGCAUGCCGCGGUGAAUACAUUCCCGGGGAUUGUACACACCGCCCGUCACACCAUGAGAGUCGGGAACACCCAAAGUCCGUAGUCUAACCGCAAGGAGGACGCGGCCUAAGGUGGGUUCGAUAAUUGGGGUGAAGUCGUAACAAGGUAAC
Molecule: ribosomal RNA, 206 nt
Filed under: uncultured bacterium
Lineage: Bacteria
Description: partial 16S ribosomal RNA
Rfam family: Bacterial small subunit ribosomal RNA
Source: RNAcentral